GCCGCGGUAUCCUAACCGUGCAAAGGUAGCGUAAUCAUUUGUCCCCUAAAUAGGGACUUGUAUGAACGGCUAACUGAGGCUCUAACUGUCUCAUCAAGCUAAUCAAUGAAACUGAUCUUCCAGUACAAAAGCUGAAAUAAAAACAUAAGACGAGAAGACCCUGUGGAGCUUAAAAUCCAUACUAUAAACCUCAUCUUUCCCCAAAACGGGGCACUACUAAAAUCAAUAGUACAAACUUUUAGUUGGGGCGACUUUGGAAUUAAAAAAAACUUCCAUGCCAGGGACCUUCCCCUAUCUAGGCAAACACGCCAAAAUAAAUCCUUAUUGACCCAGCCCAUCUGAGCAACGAACCAAGUUACCCCAGGGAUAACAGCGCCAUCCUCUUCAAGAGUCCCUAUCGACAAGAGGGUUUACGACCUCGAUGUUGGAU
RNAcentral lists this ribosomal RNA (430 nucleotides) under Oedura tryoni. Its description in RNAcentral is "partial 16S ribosomal RNA". It matches the Rfam family "Bacterial large subunit ribosomal RNA", at positions 1930 to 2537 of the family's 2925-position model. Lineage: Eukaryota; Metazoa; Chordata; Lepidosauria; Squamata; Diplodactylidae. The record is from RNAcentral.